Polypterus senegalus (gray bichir) is the source of this 1315-nucleotide long non-coding RNA. RefSeq lists it as uncharacterized. The record is from RefSeq and is a predicted model, not a curated record. Lineage: Eukaryota; Metazoa; Chordata; Cladistia; Polypteriformes; Polypteridae. The transcript has 4 exons.
CUUUUAGAGCAUGAAAGCUGUCAACUUUGCUCCUGCCUUGCACUUCACUGAGGAGUAAUGAGACCAGUCGUCAUAUAUCUGGUUGUGUUUGAAGUCUGAACAAAUACGGCUGAACACGAAUUUCGAUCUAAAAUGAAAACUAAAGGUCAAGAACAGAGAAUUCUGCUAAGGAGAGGAAAUCCAUGCACACUGGACAAAUUCCUUAGGGAAAGAAAGACACACGAGUUUUCAAGAAGGCAGAGCCACGCUGACAUUAUGAGGCUAUGUAAAUCAGCUGAGAAGGCUCAGCAGUAGGAUAUCAUUCAUUCAUCAAGGAGUUCUGUAAACAAGACAGAAGUUUUUGUUAUGCAACAAACAGAAUGACCGGAAGAGAAACAGGUGUCAAAAUAAAGCAAAAUGUUAAUAUGGAGGAGAGGAGAUUAAAGCAUCAUAGCCCAGACCAGAACCCAAAACUGAAGUCAAAUCAAAAAGAGAAAAAGAGACAACAGAACUAGAGAACCAGAAUGAAUUUUGAGAAUGCUUUUGUUAAUCUUUGAUAAAUCUGCAAAUUCAGACAACUAAGUGAUCAUAGGAAGUGCAUUUUAUACCCUUUGACCCCUGAUGUCAUUAGACAUUAGCAACUGCACAGCAACCAGUAAACAUAACUGCAUACGAUAGAUGCUCCCAUAUAAGAACAAAAUGGUGUCGUGGAAAGAUACAAAUACUGUAAAUUGAAAAUAACUCCAAAAAACAAACAUCAGGAAAAGCUUUCUAGUGUUAGAAACAAAUGCAAAUAUUUAAAACAGAGCAAAAAUGAAGUUCACUGACGAUAAAUUUAAGGUAAGGUAGUCAUAAUCACUAAUCGUGGUGCUUGAGUAUGGCAAUGUGUAACAUGUUGACUAGCACAUGCAAUUAAGAAUUUUACUGUAUUCUAUACAUGUGACAAUAUGUACCCUGAAAUCUAUCAACUGAAAACCUGAAAAGAAUUUAGUUGGAGAAUCAUACUAAGAAUUGCACAAUGGUAAUUAAUAGUUUACUAUAAACUCAUUUUGUUACUUUGUUGUUUUCAAAAGUUAUUUCAGCUAAUACUGCAAUAAUGGAGGUUCAAUGGUUAAUACUGCUGCUUCAGUGAUCUAGCAUAGUGUAGUUCAGUCCUGCCCAUCUUACUGUUAAUGUAGACUUUAAACAUCUUCCUCAUACAAGCUUUUAUUUUUCUCUGAGUAUUCUUGCCUUCCUUCUACAAUAAAUAGUUAUUUGUGUUGAUUACAAAUUAGCUCUGUGUCAGUUCUUAUGCACUGCACAAACUGUUUCCUGCCUUGUGCCCCGUGUUACCAGA